This 230-nucleotide ribosomal RNA is filed under the name uncultured Actinomycetales bacterium. Its description in RNAcentral is "partial 16S ribosomal RNA". It matches the Rfam family "Bacterial small subunit ribosomal RNA", at positions 101 to 334 of the family's 1533-position model. The record is from RNAcentral. Lineage: Bacteria; Bacillati; Actinomycetota; Actinomycetes; Actinomycetales.
AACGGGUGAGUAACACGUGGGUGAUCUGCCCUGCACUCUGGGAUAAGCCUGGGAAACUGGGUCUAAUACCGGAUAGGACCAUGCUUUAGUGUGUGUGGUGGAAAGUUUUUUCGGUGUAGGAUGAGCCCGCGGCCUAUCAGCUUGUUGGUGGGGUAAUGGCCUACCAAGGCGGCGACGGGUAGCCGGACUGAGAGGUUGGUCGGCCACAUUGGGACUGAGAUACGGCCCAG